This is a long non-coding RNA of Syngnathus typhle (broad-nosed pipefish), 948 nucleotides long. RefSeq lists it as uncharacterized. The transcript has 2 exons. NCBI's taxonomy places the organism in Eukaryota, Metazoa, Chordata, Actinopteri, Syngnathiformes, Syngnathidae. The record is from RefSeq and is a predicted model, not a curated record.
GCUCAUUACUGCCGCUUGUUAACACAUUAACAGCGUCCUGCCCGUGUAGAACGCGUCCGUGCAAAAAAAAACAAAAAAAAACACACACAACAGUUCUGGCUGUCGUGCUGUGUAAUCAGAAGCUGCGGAGAGAUAAGGCGAUGGAGUCAGGAAACACGGGGGUGUAAGAGUGUGGGAAGCCACGCCCACUGGUCGCUGGAACAACCGCCGGGGAGGUUCGAUUUCCCGCUGACCUCACGCUUCCAUGAGUCAUGACAGCUCAGUCAGACUCCACGGCGGGCCAGCUUCCAGAAAGAGCUGAGCCAAUCCGCAUGAGCCCAGAACCUGUUGGCCUGACCUGGAUAACAGACGGGGCUGGACUCGAGCCGAAGCAGGUUUAAUGUUGUAAACAUACGCAUGCACCGACAUAGGUGUGCAUUCUUUGAAGCUGUGAGUCAUUUGCUGCAAAUGUGCUUGCGCAAGACAAACUGCACAAAUCUGACAGUGAAGUGGCAGCGGGAAGUUAUUUAUCAACGUCAGUGGCCAGGGCGGAACUGAAACAAACACUGUUUACUAACCUGAUUUAAAAAAAACAACUGGGAAACUAGCAUUAUUUUUUUUUUUAAAUACUGUACUCCUGAAACAUAUUUGACAAACUUUAUCUUCGUUUCUAGAAGUCAUCCUUGAAUCCAUACUAAUGAACUUUAAACGACACAGGCCUCCAGCGAUGACACCACGCUAAUGUUGAGCGAAAGAACAAAUGGAGUCACACCGCAGACGAUUUGUCCCUGAGUGGUUCAUAAACUGUCCGCAAGCUCGACAGACCUCAUAAACAACAGAUAUAAGAGUGGCUCCACAGCUUAUUUUUUUUCUUUUUCUUAACAAGGCACUUAACAAAACCUCAACAUCCAUCUUGGUACUCACCGCGAUUUUCCAUCACAGAUUUUGAGGCGCACCGAUCCUAAAUUC